Molecule: ribosomal RNA, 187 nt
Filed under: Salassa tonkiniana
Lineage: Eukaryota; Metazoa; Arthropoda; Insecta; Lepidoptera; Saturniidae
Description: partial 12S ribosomal RNA
Source: RNAcentral
ACCGGCCCCGGGGGGGGCCCAAAAAGGGGGUAUUUAUUUUUUCACGGGGGAAAUCGUAAUUUUUUAAAUUUUUAAUAUUGAAAAACCCCCAAAAAAAAUAAAUUUUUUUUAAAAAAAUAAAAUUUUUCCCCAAAAAUUAUAUGGAAAAAAAGGUUUUAAAAAAAUUUUUAAACCCUAAAAAAAUUUU